Camellia sinensis is the source of this 341-nucleotide non-coding RNA. The record is from RefSeq and is a predicted model, not a curated record. Lineage: Eukaryota; Viridiplantae; Streptophyta; Magnoliopsida; Ericales; Theaceae.
CUCUCUCUCUCUCUCUCUCUCUCUUUAUUCUCCUCAUCAGUUUGUUCUCCAAACAAAAAUUCAACAUAAAUUGCAGCAGAUUCGACCUUCAUUUCAUUACACUUUUGGCCACUUAUGAUUUCAAGGACAACGACACCGAAGCUAUACGUAUCAACCUUCUCAGACAACUGUCCAUGGAUGGCAUAUUCUGGUGCUGUAUAACCCCUGUUGCAUGAGAAAGUAGUUAGUUAUCAUUCAAUGGUUUCAAAUAUUUUACUAGAAGUACUAGAUUUGUUACAUGAAAACAUAUCACUGGUUUAAUUUCAAUUAGGAAUCAAAAUAGCCUCUAAUACAAUCCAUUA